This is a long non-coding RNA of Lontra canadensis (Northern American river otter), 303 nucleotides long. RefSeq lists it as uncharacterized. The transcript is spliced from 3 exons. NCBI's taxonomy places the organism in Eukaryota, Metazoa, Chordata, Mammalia, Carnivora, Mustelidae. The record is from RefSeq and is a predicted model, not a curated record.
UGCCCCUCUGCAUUUGUUUGAUGGAAACCCCUUCUCUGUCCCGGAGCCUCUAGUCAGAGAGCCCUCUGAGCUCCUGGGACCUGAGGAUGCUGGGUCUUGUGGUGAUUUCUGGCCCCAGUGAACAGAUCAUACCUGUGAUGGGCAGCAUUCAAAAUAGGCCCUGGGACCCCUGCCUCCUGGUGUGCACGCCCUAGGGCAAACCCCAUUCCUUGGAUGGUGUCAGAAGAGGCCCUGUGCUAAGCAUCCCUAUGGAGAAGGGUGUGUAGCAGAGGAACUGAAGCCGCCUGCCAAGAGCCAUGUGAG